RNAcentral lists this unclassified non-coding RNA (195 nucleotides) under uncultured Chlorella. Its description in RNAcentral is "partial contains ITS2 and 28S rRNA". Lineage: Eukaryota; Viridiplantae; Chlorophyta; Trebouxiophyceae. The record is from RNAcentral.
GCUCACCCCCUCGCCACCCUAACCCAUCCGCCUCGGCAGAUGGGUGACGGGAAGGCGGAUCUGGCCGUCUCUGUGCUCCUUGAGAGCGCAGGGUCGGCUGAAGAAUAGAGGCUUGAGCAUGGUCCCGCUGAAAGGGCGCCAGCUUGGGUAGGGUAGCUCACGCUCCAUGCCGCUGUUGCCCCUAGGAACCGUGCU